UAAAAGUUUUAUUUUUGUUUAAAAAAAUUAGGUUAAAUUUGAUAUUUAUAUGUAAAUUUUUGUUGUGAUAUUAAAAAAUUAUUUAAAAAAUAAUAGGAAAUUAUAUUCGCAGUAAAUAAUUUUAUUAAUUAAUGAAAAUUAGAUUUAGUUAAAAUUUUAAGUAUUAACAAAAUUUGUGCCAGCAGUUGCGGUUAUACAAAUAUUACAAUUUAAUUAAUUUUAGUAUUAAUAUAUAUAAAUAAUUAAAAUUUUUAAUUUAAAAUUUAUUAGGUGAAAUUUUAAUUUUUAAGGGAAGAUUGUUUUUUUAAUUUAUUUAAUAAAUUUAAUUUUAGACUAGGAUUAGAUACCCUAUUAUUAUAAACGUAAAUUUUAGCUAGAUUAGUAUUAGUUAUUUUCUUGAAAAUUAAAGAUUUUGGCGGUUUUUUAGUCUAUUCAGAGGAACCUGUUCUGUAAAUGAUAAUCCACGAUUUAAAUUACUUUUUUUAGAAUUUGUAUAUCGUCGUAAUAGAAUAUUUUAUAAGAAUUUUAAUAUUCAAUAUUUAUUUUUUAAUUUAAAUCAGAUCAAGGUACAGUGUAUAAAAAAGGAGAAAUGGGUUACAUUAAUUUUAAUUAAGGAAUAUGAAUUGUAAAUGAAUAUGAAUGUGGAUUUGAAAGUAAUUAUAAAUAAAUUUUUAUAAUGAUUAUAGCUCUAAAUUAUGUACAUAUUGCCCGUCGCUUUCAUUUUAAGAUGAAAUAAGUCGUAACAGAGUAGGCUUACUGGAAAGUGGGCCUAGAAAGAA
This 779-nucleotide non-coding RNA is filed under the name Annamanum lunulatum. Lineage: Eukaryota; Metazoa; Arthropoda; Insecta; Coleoptera; Cerambycidae. The record is from RNAcentral.